UACGGGGGGGGCAAGCGUUGUUCGGAAUUACUGGGCGUAAAGGGCUCGUAGGCGGCCAACUAAGUCAGACGUGAAAUCCCUCGGCUUAACCGGGGAACUGCGUCUGAUACUGGAUGGCUUGAAUCCGGGAGAGGGAUGCGGAAUUCCAGGUGUAGCGGUGAAAUGCGUAGAUAUCUGGAGGAACACCGGUGGCGAAGGCGGCAUCCUGGACCGGCAUUGACGCUGAGGCGCGAAAGCUAGGGGGAGCAAACGGG
RNAcentral lists this ribosomal RNA (254 nucleotides) under uncultured bacterium. Its description in RNAcentral is "partial 16S ribosomal RNA". It matches the Rfam family "Bacterial small subunit ribosomal RNA", at positions 524 to 776 of the family's 1533-position model. The record is from RNAcentral.